This 253-nucleotide ribosomal RNA is filed under the name uncultured bacterium. Its description in RNAcentral is "partial 16S ribosomal RNA". It matches the Rfam family "Bacterial small subunit ribosomal RNA", at positions 524 to 776 of the family's 1533-position model. The record is from RNAcentral.
UACGUAGGGAGCAAGCGUUGUCCGGAAUCAUUGGGCGUAAAGCGCGCGUAGGCGGCCUCGUAAGUCCGUUGUGAAAGUCAAAGGCUCAACCUUUGAAAGCCGAUGGAUACUGUGAGGCUAGAGUCCGGAAGAGGCGAGUGGAAUUCCUGGUGUAGCGGUGGAAUGCGCAGAUAUCAGGAAGAACACCAACGGCGAAGGCAGCUCGCUGGGACGGUACUGACGCUGAGACGCGAAAGCGUGGGGAGCGAACAGG